AGAGAAUACCCAGCAUUACUUUUAUCAGAAUUGUCUUGAAGAUAACCAACUAUUAAAUUACUAACUACUAAGUUUGGAGAGGAAUUCGAUGUGGGUAAAGUCACUGAUGGUUUUUUGAUAUGACUUUGUUUGUUUAUUGAUGGUGUUUUAGGUUGUUCUAUUGAUAGUUGUUUAUAUGAGGGUUUAAAAUUAUUAAGAGUUUCAACUAUCUUAU
This is a non-coding RNA of Caenorhabditis elegans, 214 nucleotides long. Lineage: Eukaryota; Metazoa; Nematoda; Chromadorea; Rhabditida; Rhabditidae. The record is from Ensembl.